GAGCUGACGGCGUACCCUUUGUAUAAUGGGUCAGCGACUUACAUUCAGUGGCAAGGUUAACCGAAUAGGGAAGCCGUAGAGAAAUCGAGUCCGAAUAGGGCGAUUCAGUCGCUGGGUGUAGACCCGAAACCAGGUGAUCUAUCCAUGGCCAGGAUGAAGGUGCGGUAACACGUACUGGAGGUCCGAACCCACUAACGUUGAAAAGUUAGGGGAUGAGCUGUG
This 222-nucleotide ribosomal RNA is filed under the name Chaetoceros curvisetus. Its description in RNAcentral is "partial Bacterial large subunit ribosomal RNA". It matches the Rfam family "Bacterial large subunit ribosomal RNA", at positions 590 to 813 of the family's 2925-position model. The record is from RNAcentral. Lineage: Eukaryota; Bacillariophyta; Thalassiosirophyceae; Chaetocerotales; Chaetocerotaceae.